Non-coding RNA from Bactrocera oleae (olive fruit fly), 3201 nucleotides. The record is from RefSeq and is a predicted model, not a curated record. Lineage: Eukaryota; Metazoa; Arthropoda; Insecta; Diptera; Tephritidae.
AUUCGUUUUGCUUCCUUUCUACCUUUUCUUUUUUAAUGGAAUUUGAAGACUUUUCUUUGAUUUCAUUUUUUGUAUUUUACUUUUAACACAUUUUUUCACUGUAUUUUUUCUUAUUUUUUCUUAUUUUUUCUUGAAUAAACUGGUUAGCCUGUAAUUACACAAAAAAUAUACAAACAUUUAUUAUUAGAUAUUAUUAAUAACAUUUUAGGCUGCUUGCCCUGCACGUAAUAUAUAUAUCCGUUUCCGGUUGUAUUAAGUGCAAAACGGUGAUCGGUGGUCAACUCGCAUUAACGCUCGGCGCUCAUUCCACGCUUUUUUGUCCGCUCUUUCUGUUUUGUUUUUGGUUAUUAAUCACACUGUAUUAUCCUACUCAUGCCGGCAUACCGCCGCGCACCGCUCUGCUACACUACACCGCGCUGUCGUGGCGCGCUUUUCACUCCUCUUUCUUUUGACUUUUAUUUUCUUUCAUUCUUUUCCUCUCUUUUCACCGACUCACUGCAGCUUAUUUUUACGUGACUUUUUAAAUUACACAGCAGCAGCAGUAGCAGCAGCACUUGUCGAGUAUAUUUUGCGCGCACAAUUUUUCAUCAUUUCUUGACACUAAUGACAUUUUAUUAUGGUUGUAUUGCGCUCAAAGAAAUUCAAGAAAAAUCACAUUAAAGAAAUCAAGGCGCUGCACGGCACACACGGUCGUUGUAGUGAAUAGCUAGUGAAUGAAAUGUUGCCUUUGAGCUCACCGCUCCAACACCAGCAGACGCAUUCAAACACACACACGCACAAUUGUUGUUUUAAUAUUUUUAGCUAUAAUUAAAGUAUCAUCAAACACAUCACUGACAGCCAUUUCUCAGUAGUUCAUUUGUUUCAUGUUGCUUUUUGUUAUUGUUUUGUUUUGCAUUCAACUUGGCAUUAUAUUUUUCCUUUGAAAAUACGUCACUCUUUGCUCUUUUAUUUGUCUCACAUUCACUUUGUGUUCGAAAAGUCGUAAAUCCUUCAAUUUCUAAGAUUUGUGGUCCACACACAUGGAAAGCUGUAAGAAAAAUAACAAAAAGAGCAAUUAUUGGAGGAAUUAACUUAUUGUGGUUGCGGAUUUAUAAGAACUGUUAAAUAUUUAUUUUUGUUUAUUAAAACAUUAUUAGUUACAGAAGAACAAUUUGUGGAUCAAAUAAAAUACUGCAAUUUAGUGAUUUUGGUUAAAGUAAUAUAAAGUGAGAAAAUUGUACACAAUUUUCAGAUUAAAUGACAAGCUCACUAAUGACUUUCGAAUGCAGACAUAAAAUAUAAAUAAUACUCAGAGAGAACUGUCAAACGGUCACUUUUUCUAGGAUGGUACAAUAUUUUAGGAAACAAAAAGCACACACAGAAGAGGAGGCAAAUACACAAUACAAGGAAAAAAAACUUGAAAACUGUUGAAAUAAAAUGCAAAGAUUCUUUAUCUGCGGUCUUUGUCUGGUUAAGAAGGUCAACAAGCAUUAUGACUGGGCUAAAUAAUACGCAAAAAGUCUGAAAAAAAUAUGGAAAAAAGUUGGAAAAAGAGUUAAGAGGAAUAUGAAAGAAUGAUGAUAUUAUAUUUUCAUAUCAUUACUUUUUCAAACAAAAAUCUACGUACGCUUGUUGAAAAAGGAAGCUUCUCCCUGAUUAGCUGACAGAUUCGACAUUGGAUGUGAAGCAGCUGCUGCUGCGCCCUCGGCGCUAUAUAAGUUGAUCAGUUACAGUCGGUGAACAUUUAUGCCUUGUUUCUCAUUAUAACAAGAUAUAAAUCUACUGCCUUGUUAUUCCUGCGGCAUAGUCCACAAAGCCAGCAACUAUGGUGUCUGUACUUGUAUGUGCGAAUGUAUGGGUUGGCGUGCACCUUUGUUGUUUCCACCAUUUAUCAUUGCAAAAUAAUUAGGUGUAGCAAAUUUCAACAACUUCUUGUAAUAUAUGAAAUAUGUAUAUGUAAAAUGCUGAUCAGCUGUAGGAAGAGCAGAGCAUAAGGCAAAAGUGGUAGAAAUCCCAAGAGUUACGAAAGCAGUAUGUGAGCGAUUUCAGCAUCAGAAAUGCUGUGCUCCCUUUAAGAAUACUUCGAUUUCGCAUAUUUUCGCAUAACGCAUUUGGCCUGCAGCGAAAUUCUACAAAAUCGCAAAAGCCUACUUAACUACUCGUAACUACCCACACAGACUCUUGGCGCAGCGCACACGCAAUCAAAGCCAGCACUGCAGUCGGGGAUUAUCUUACGGUCGCUUGGAGGAUACUCCACUAUCCUGUUCUAGGUACCCACCAUGCAAAAACAAAAUCCAAUGAAAGACGACAAAAAUACCAGCGCUACUAUCUUUUUUAAAUAAAAGUGAUGCCCAUGAGAUGAUAAUGAUUGAGUAUCAAUGAUGAAAUAUUCUCAAUGCCAGGCUUAGAAGUUUUGGCCAAAUUCAUAAAAACAAUAUUACAUAUGUAUGUAUACAUAUAUACAUAUGUACCUGACGUACAUUUAUGAUUUUCAAAUUAUGCAUUGAUACUGGCAUUUUCCUGCACGACAUUUGUGAAAGUCAACUCUGCAGCACUUCAACGGUUCACUGGCUUAUAUACACUCUCGUAGGUAUUACAUACGCACGCCUUGCUCUAUUUCUUCGCUUCAUCAAUAAAUACGCACAGCAAGUGCUUUCAACGACUUGGGGGCAAAUGCAUAUGAGCGAGCGGAUACAUAUUUAUGCCGUUUUGGGAUUUCGAUGAUUUGAAACAACCUGCCGACCAACCAACCAAUCAACUAUACGAACCGUUCAACGAAUUUGUAUGUAUAUCAGUUUUAAAAAAUGAAACGGUUCUGGUUAGCCGAUAAAUUGUGAGCAAUCCAACAUUGAUUGUCAUGAAGGGUGCAAUUAGCAGGGAAUUAUCUACUAUAAGCUACUUAGCUACUACCAAACUCUUAAUUCGAAACUGUACUGUCAACGUUUGGACAAUCCGAAAGAAAUAAUCUUUCAGAAGUAUCCAGCUUUGGUGAAUAGGAGAGAAAAUUGUUUUCCAUCAAGACAACGCCAGACCACGCACAUCGAUAGUGCAUCGCCAGAAGCUGUGUGUUCUUAUACAUCCGCUUUAUAGUUUGGAUCUGAAUUGAUUAUUACCUCUUGCCUCAACAAUACUGUACCACUUUUUUUUAUCAAUAGGAAUUAUGAUUACGGAAAAAAACAAUGGACAUUUGACCUAAACCGAUUAUUUCUAUUUAAUGCCAAA